CAACUUUGGAAAAAUCGUGCUAAGUCCGUCACCUCAUUUGCCUCUUGUCCUCUACUGAGGAAGCCCCUCAUCUUUGCAUGGGCGUAACUUUUAGCUGUUCCUGUAACCUGCUGAUCACCUUCCCCAAUCUACCAAUUUGGUGUACCCCCAAUGUGGUGAACAUUUCUGCAGAAAUCCAUAUGAUUGUUACCAUUUGCAAACUUCUGCCCAGUCAGGCCUCUAUAUCACUCUCGAUGCCUCCUCCUCCUCCUCCUCCUCCUCUAGUUACUACAGUCAGUCCUCUUACGUCGCAGUAUUUUGGGUAUCGAGCAUCACGUCGUUGCUGCUGCUCCCGGAAGAAUUCCGGCUCUGUGUGCACUUCAUGAGUUGUGGUGCCAUCUGUACAGUUUCUCAUACCGUAGCACCUGCCUUUCCAGUAUUUUCUAUCCUUUAGCGUUAAGUUUAUCUAUCGUUUUAGUUGUAUGGUGUCACCAUUUAACCAUUCUGCUUUAGAAGGCCGUGGCUGUUCGACGUUAUGGUCCAUGGGCCGAUAAACCCUGUGGCCGCCCUACGAACCCUUGAGCCGAAAUCUGUCAAGGGACUGCUAGCACAGUAUGACGGCCUGCGAGCCGACAAACACUCUUACAGGUAGACAGAUCUGGUUACUUUAGCAUGGCUAUCGCUAACGCUGUGCUAACUAUACAUUUACGGACUGACUGAUGCAGCGUUUGCUCCUCUCUCAGUUUCAAACAGCGACUGCCUCCGUAUCGGCUGCGACAACUGCAACAACGGGUCUUUCGCCUAUGCUUUUUUUGCUACGUGCAGAUCGUCAGUGAUGGAGCGAGUGACGACGCUUCGCCGAGCACUCCCCUUCUCUUCAUGGCUACAACGGCAGGGGAAGCGGCACAGAGGCACUCACGAUGAAAACGAAGGCGAGAUUGAACGAGAUCAACGCAGCGGAAGCACGAACCGAAACGCCGAACGAACGAUGAAUGGCGACAGUGGCAGAAUCGCAGUCGCGCAUAGCUAGCGAUUGAACCCAUCGAAGUACUGCAGCGGUGGAAGCCGAUCCGAACAACGGCGGGCCGGUACCGGCCAAUAUUUUCUCCGUCGUUACACUUAGCGUUCUGCUUAGCGGCGACAAAACGUACACGGCAGCUCCAGCGAAAGCAGAGGCAAUUCGAGGGAGAGACGCGUCAGUUAUCGCGACGGUGACGGUGGCUGCUAGUGGUCCAGCCCAGCCAAGCCGAAUGACGAACCCUACGAACGAACAACGGCUGAUGACGCGAUGAUGAUGGAAGUGCAGCAAGCAAUGCAGAGCGAAUGCCGAACAGGAAAGAGGCGAUCAACCGGUUUUGUUGGCAGACGCACGGUCGUCGUCACUCUCCAAUGAUGGUGCCGCAGCAGUCGGCAAUGUUUUCAAUACUUCGUUCACAGGUCGCUUCUGCAGCAGAACGAUAGCACACAAAGGACGAGUGGAUAGAUCGAACUCCGGUGGUGAUGCCGGCUGCUGGCUACGGCCUGAAGCUGCGAUCUUCUGUGAUGAUGUUUUGUGUCUGUGUGGUAAUGAACUGCUCGCUGGCGCUGGUGACACGCGAAGCAACCAAAUCGGAUCGUGUAGAGUCGCGGAAUCAAACAGCAAGCUGAGGCUGGCUGACUCGGCAGUAGCAAUAAAAGCGUGUACGACGGAUAUACUGACUGGUGUUUUUCGAUGCUGUUGUCGGAAUCCAUACGAACUGUCUGGAUCUGCGUAGUGGUUGGUUGUUGAGGGGAAAGCGAAUUUCGGGGUAGAUGAGUGGAUGAAAAGAAGGUUCAGAGUCCGAAGUGAGAGCCUAGAAGCUGAAGAACGCACAAGAGAGGGGUGCCAGAGAUCAUGUAGAACGUGAGGGAUCGAGAAAUAGAAAUUCGCUUCGACUGCGCAAACCUGUAAUCAACCCGUAAUGAAGAAAUCGGCUGAAAGGCUGUGUUUGGUCUGAAGCAGGCAGGAGUGUGAACGAUCGUGUUAGUGAGUAUGUAGUUGAAUAAAUAACCUAUAAGCUUUCUUGGGUUUGUGAGUAGUGUUCGUGUUACGCGAAGUUUGCCAAAGAUGCUAUGGAGGGCUGGUGGUCGAUACAUGUCGCAUUGUGCAUUCUCGGCACAGCACUGAUUUACGGACCGUUACUGAAAGCCCCCCUUUUGUACGACGAUGUCGCAGCCGUCGAGAGAAAUCCGGAUGUAAACUUGCCCCUAACUUGGUCGCUGUUCGAGAAUGACUUUUGGGGCACUCCACUCAAGUCCAACUUCAGUCAUCAAAGUUACCGACCACUUACAGUGCUGACGUACCGACUAACCAACAAUGUGUUUUAUCAGCGGUUGUUCAACGCUAUACUUCAUGUUAUCAAUACGUUGUUGUUCACGACCCUGGUGCAGGAAAAAGCAGGAAACCGGGUAGCCAGAAUCGCGGGGGUACUGUUCUGUUUUCAUCCUGUACAAACGGAAGCUGUGAUACAAUUGGUAGGUCGAGCAGAACUUUUGUCCGCGUUUUUCUACCUGAUGUGUAUAUUCAGUUCAAGUUAUUCGAUUGCAUGUGUGUGCACGAGCCUCGCGAUGCUCUGCAAGGAGCAAGGGGUAACAGCCCUCGCAGUGAAAGCCUUACUGGAUAUUAUUUACUAUCAUGCCGGCCACAAAGAUAAAACCCUCUGGAAAAAGUUGCUGAUAUCCACCUCAGCCACAAUGGGUCUCCUUACGACCAGAUUCGCAAUCUCUGGCGGUACUCCGUCAUUUCAUGAGUUCGAUAACCCCGCCCGACAGCUGGCAUCGCCGCUCAGACAGAUCAACUUCGUCUAUUUGGCCCUAUUCAACGUCAAGCUGUUAUUAAACCCAUAUUGUCAAAGCUGCGACUACUCGUUUGAAUCGAUACCUCUCAUCGAGAGCUUUUUCGACAAACGAGUACUUUACGUGACGUUCUUUGCGGCGACCACGUUAACUGUGAUAGCUUCAUUAUUUAGGAGUCCCGUGGAAAAGGCCAUGAACGGAUCUGGUGGCGAUGAACUCAAAGUGCCGUCCUGUAAUAGUAAACGUACCAACAAUCCUAGCCAUCAACAUCAGUUCAAUAACAAUAACUAUAUUCCGUGCAAGAUUACCCAAGAAGUGACAGGAGCAGGUAUCUCAACACAAGCCGCGCUUCCGCUGACCGCCUUAACGAUGGCAUUCAUUCCCUGGCUGCCCGCGUCUAACCUUUUAUUCUACGUGGGCUUCGUCGUGGCCGAACGAGUUCUCUAUCUGCCCGCGAUGGGGACCUGCUUCCUAAUAGCAGUUGGCUAUGGCAAAAUAUGGGCUCUGUUGCCUGAACGCAGCAGCUCGCUGUUACGGAACGCCCUGGUGACCUUCAGCUGUGCGCUGUUAAUGAAGAGCGCGAUUCGCGGACAACAAUGGAGAAGCGGGGUGCAACUCUUUGGAGCGGCGGUACGCGACUAUCCAGGGAAUAUAAAGAUGUGGAAUAACUUGGGUAAGGCAUUCGAGAUAGAGGGGGAGUUCCAUCUCGCGCUCAGUUGUUUCGACCGUUCGUUGAAACAGCGCGACGAAAUUCGGGCGCACUGGUAUAAAGCUAGACUCCUUUCAAAACUGAAUAAAGAUGAUCUAGCCAGAAGCAUCUAUCGGGAAAAAUAUCCGCUUGUCGCAGUUCCAUUUGACGAUUUCGUGAAGAUACGCAAAGAGGACAUCUUGUUUGUCGUUGACUACAUUCGUCUCCUCAUAAAGAUGGACGCGCUUGAAGAGGCGAAGGCUGUGGUUGCUGAGAUGAUGACUUCGACGCCAAAUGUGGCCGAAUUUCAUAUUGUUGCUGGUGAAUUGUUCUACCAACUCGACAUGAAACCUAUGGCUGAGCGAAGCUAUCGCAAGGUUCUUGAGAUCGAUCCUAGGUUAGCGGACGCGUAUUACAACCUGGGCGUGUUACUUAUGGAACGCGGAGCUACUGAUGGAGCGGCCUCAAUGUUCCAGCAAUGUAUUGAGCUCAAUCCGACACAUGAGCCUUCACGCGUGAAUCUCGACGUAUUGAAGACUAACACGGAGGAUGACACCAUGAUGUCUCUCUACAAGGAUGCAAUGGACGCACUGAGGGAAGGUAGCUACACAGCAGCGGAAUCUUUACUGCAUCGUGUAUUAUCCCGACAGCCUCACCAUCCGUCUGCGCUGUACAAUCUUGCCCUAUUACAAACCCAGUUGGGGAAGUCGCCAACAUCAUCGAUAGCAUUUCUUGACCGACUGCUCGUUGAACGGCCGUCUCAUUCGAAGGCUUUGCUUCUCAAAGCUAGUAUCCUCCAUCGGCAACUAGGCGAUACCGAGUCAGCAAUAAAGGGCCAAAUGGAAAUGGUUUCACUUGAGCCUUAUGACCUGAAGGUUUCUGUUGAGGACAUUUGCAGCCGUGUAUCAGCUCUAUCUGUGAUUUCCUCAGGCAUUUUUCCUAGCUGGUUUUCGAAAUAAUGCCUGUACCGAAAUUGAAGCUUUGUCCAAUUUCAAGAUCCGACAGCGUUCUUUAACCUUGAAGCGCUUAAACUCUACUAGUCCCGUUCGAUCGGACUAAAUGGCACAUACGCUACAAAGUUCCUGUGAUAAUAACCCGCUAUAUAUUAUUCUUAACAAUAUUCUCCAGGGCAGUAUUCUCAACUCUGUUACUUGACCAUUGUUGAGGUAAGCAUUCGCAACGCAAAUGUUAUAGACAAGACGUCAAGAAGUUUGUUUAAGUUUUAAGCUGCGUCUCCACCGGAAUAAGGGCGACAUAUGACAUGACAAGGUACGCAGCCAAGGUACUGUGUCCAGCCGCAGUGAUUUGUCUAUGCCCACACCAUUAAGCAAGUGAAGUUCGUCCCCUGCAGGAUCGUUUCGUGGCCAGCAUGAAUCCACAGCUUGACCACGCUGCUAUCCUUCAUCGACUUUUUGUGCUUGCCCAUUUAUAUCAUUGAGGACGAUCACCUAUCUUAUGGCUAUUUCGCUCAAUGCACGCUCUUCACGAAGCUGGGCUGGCUUUCCUAAUCUUUACCAAAACUAGGCCGCCAUUCUGUAUUCCUUGAACAUUGCUUGAGUCAAAUUCGUUGUAGAUAGGUAGAGACAUUUAAGAAUAGAAAAAAAAAAAGGGCAGCUUUAUUUACCUAUUGCCGCAGACUGAUUCCUCAUUAUGCUUAUUAUAGCUGAACUGUGAUAGUCAACUGCCGUAGUAGGGAGCAGCAGCGGUUCUAAUGUUUUUUGUUUUUUAACUGGGCGUAAAUGAUAGCGUUGUGUGGCUCUCAAAAAGCGGAAACGCGGCUGGCGGAGAUGCGGAAAGGAGCGGACCGAUUCAGAACAAUUUGUGACUAUGUCGAUCCGACGGAUCAUCCGAAGAGAUUCCUAAUCUAGUAAAACGGAACCACAAGGACAAAAAGGAUAUGCCCGUGUGAAAAUCGUUGCCGAACAGAUUCAAUACUAUCGGUAUUGGUACAGUAAUAUAUCAAUACCUUCUGUACGCCAAGGCCUACAUGGUUGAUCGAAGCUUAGAGUCGCCUCUAGAGGCCCUUUGUGAUCUUUCACCUCGAACGGCUUUUUCGCU
This is a non-coding RNA of Varroa destructor (honeybee mite), 5539 nucleotides long. Lineage: Eukaryota; Metazoa; Arthropoda; Arachnida; Mesostigmata; Varroidae. The record is from RefSeq and is a predicted model, not a curated record.